Molecule: ribosomal RNA, 497 nt
Filed under: uncultured bacterium
Lineage: Bacteria
Description: partial 16S ribosomal RNA
Rfam family: Bacterial small subunit ribosomal RNA
Source: RNAcentral
GAUGAACGCUGGCGGCGUGCCUAAUACAUGCAAGUCGAGCGAACGGACGAGAAGCUUGCUUCUCUGAUGUUAGCGGCGGACGGGUGAGUAACACGUGGAUAACCUACCUAUAAGACUGGGAUAACUUCGGGAAACCGGAGCUAAUACCGGAUAAUAUUUUGAACCGCAUGGUUCAAAAGUGAAAGACGGUCUUGCUGUCACUUAUAGAUGGAUCCGCGCUGCAUUAGCUAGUUGGUAAGGUAACGGCUUACCAAGGCAACGAUGCAUAGCCGACCUGAGAGGGUGAUCGGCCGCACUGGAACUGAGACACGGACCAGACUCCUACGGGAGGCAGCAGUAGGGAAUCGUCCGCAAUGGGCGAGAACCUGACGGAACAACGCCGCGUGAGUGAUGAAGGUCUUCGGAUCGUAAAACUCUGUUAUUAGGGAAGAACAUAUGUGUAAGUAACUGUGCACAUCUUGACGGUACCUAAUCAGAAAGCCACGGCUAACUACGUG